This 1439-nucleotide ribosomal RNA is filed under the name Flavobacterium luteum. Its description in RNAcentral is "partial 23S ribosomal RNA". It matches the Rfam family "Bacterial large subunit ribosomal RNA", at positions 1 to 1417 of the family's 2925-position model. The record is from RNAcentral. Lineage: Bacteria; Pseudomonadati; Bacteroidota; Flavobacteriia; Flavobacteriales; Flavobacteriaceae.
GCCCUGAAGGGCGUAUGGUGGAUGCCUUGGCAGACAGUACCGAUGAAGGACGUUUGAGGAUGCGAUAAGCCUCGGGGAGCCUCCAACAUGGCUUCGAUCCGAGGAUUUCCGAAUGGGGCAACCCGCCGGCCGUCAUGGGCCGGCACGGAACCUUGUUGUUCCGGGGGUACGCAGGGAAGUGAAACAUCUCAGUACCUGCAGGAAGGGAUACUCCGUGAGUAGUGGCGAGCGAAAGCGGAUCAGACCAAACCAUGGGCGCGUGAUACCCGUCGGGGGUUGCGUUCGUGGUGUUGCGGGAGCGUGUGUCCCGGUUCCGACGGACCGGGCGGGAGUCAUAAAACGGCUUGCCAGGGGAACAGGCUUGAAGGCCUGGCCGCAGAGGGUGCCAGCCCCGUACCUGGAAGCUUGCCGUCUUCCGAUCAUGUGUCCCAAGUAGCGCGGGCCUCGUGGAAUCCCGUGUGAAUCGGCCCCGACCGUGGGGUAAGUCUAAGCAUACCUGUCUGACCGAUAGCGUACCAGUACCGUGAGGGAAAGGUGAAAAGCACCCCGGGAGGGGAGUGAAAGAGUUCCUGAAACCGUGCGCCUACAAUCCGUCGGAGCCUCCUUGUGGGGUGACGGCGUGCCUAUCGAAAAAUGAGUCUGCGAGUCAGUGGUGCGUGGCGAGGCUAACCCGUGGUGGGGGAGCCGUAGCGAAGGCGAGUCUCAAAAGGCGUUUUGAGUCGCGCGCCCUGGACCCGAAGCGGGAUGAUCUAGCCCUGGGCAGGUUGAAGCGCGGGUAAGACCGCGUGGAGGACCGAACCCACCUGGGUUGAAAACCGGGGGGAUGACCUGGGGCUAGGGGUGAAAGGCCAAUCAAAUUCCGUGAUAGCUGGUUCUCUCCGAAAUGCAUUUAGGUGCAGCGUCGGUUGAUUGCAUCGCGGGGGUAGAGCUACUGGAUGCUUGCGGGCCCGUGUCGGGUACCAAUAGCAGCCAAACUCCGAAUACCGUGGAUGUGUAUUCCGGCAGUGAGUCGGCGGGGGAUAAGCUCCGUCGUCGAGAGGGAGACAGCCCAGAUCGUCGUCUAAGGUCCCGAAGCGUGUGCUAAGUGGGAAAGGAUGUGGAGUCGCAUAGACAGCCAGGAGGUUGGCUCAGAAGCAGCCAUCCUUGAAAGAGUGCGUAACAGCUCACUGGUCUAGUGGUUCCGCGCCGACAAUGUAGCGGGGCUCAAGCACACCACCGAAGACGCGGCAGCGGCCUUUGCGGCCGUUGGGUAGGAGAGCGUCCCGCGUGGGGCGAAGCGGCCGGGGAACCGUGCCGUGGACCGCGCGGGAGUGAGAAUGCAGACAUGAGUAGCGAGAGACGGGUGAGGAUCCCGUCCGCUGGAUGACCAAGGGUUCCGGGGCCACGUUCGUCGUCCCCGGGUGAGUCGGGUCCUAAGGCGAGGCCGACAGGCGUAGUCG